RNAcentral lists this ribosomal RNA (253 nucleotides) under uncultured bacterium. RNAcentral's name for it is "partial 16S ribosomal RNA". It matches the Rfam family "Bacterial small subunit ribosomal RNA", at positions 524 to 776 of the family's 1533-position model. The record is from RNAcentral.
UACGAAGGGGGCUAGCGUUGUUCGGAAUCACUGGGCUUAAAGGGCGCGUAGGCGGCUCGCCAAGUCCGGGGUGAAAGCCUCCAGCUCAACUGGAGAAGUGCCUUGGAUACUGGCGGGCUCGAGCGAGGUAGGGGCGGGUGGAACUUCCGGUGGAGCGGUGAAAUGCGUAGAGAUCGGGAGGAACACCAGAGGCGAAGGCGGCGACCUGGACAAGUACUGACACUCAACUACGAAAGCGUGGGGAGCAAACAGG